CAUUAAUGCAAAUGAUUCCUCGAGGAGAUUUGUAAGUACGUGUGCUUCUUCAACUUUUGUUUUGUAAUUCAAAAUUUAUGCAAAUGAUUGCAAGGCUCAAUUCAUGUGAGGUUUCCAUGGUACAAUCUUCACAUGUUGAUGGAUUUUCUGUGCCUGGUAGCUGUCAUCAUUUUGGUAAUCGACAUUUCAAAAUGCAUCUGUUGGCUUGAAAUUUGUAAAAAGGUUUUCAUUUUCAAGUGAUAGCAGGUCAUAUUUGUCUGCAUAGGAAAAAUAUAGAGUGAGGCCUUAGUUGAUAGAAUCGGUGUGUCCCUAUUCGUUUAUAUUCCUGAAAUUUCGUUGAUAGCAUUACAUAUCGUCUAUCAGCAUAAUUUUGGAUUCCUUCAUUGAAAUUCACUUCUCCUAUCUGAUUUACUAGCGACAUUUCUGAACUUCUGUUUUACAGAAGUAGGGACGAUCUGGAAAUAUCACAAUAAUUUUGCAAGUUUUAGUCAUAAAACCGGUUGCUUUUGUCAACUAAGUUGAGUGGUGAUUGUCAGAUUCUUCUUCUGUAGCAGGAGCAGCUUCAUCAUCGUUCGAUUUGUAGAUAGGACGAACAUAAAUUUGCACCAACUCACAGUGAUUUGUUGUCCCAUCGGCAGGACUAGACCAGCACCAAAAUUAAUCGUAAAUUAUCAUCUUCAAAGUGGGAACAAGCCCAACAUUUUUUAUGUCACAGCUGAGUUGCUAAUGGAUCGAGACCAGAAGAGUUGGCAAUAUACAAUGUUGAGAUUCGCAUUCGGGUUUGAUCAACACAAUUUUGAAUUUUCCAUUAGAGGUUCAAUUUUAAUGGUUGUGGUUUAUCCUUUCCGUGGUUUUGAGUUCCAGAGCAAAAACUUAAGGCUGUUAAUUUAUUGUUUAUCUCCUGUAAAAGAACAUCCACUCACAGUUUGGAUAAGAGUUUGUAUUGCUAGGAAGAUGGCAAUAUCAAAUUGAAGUGUUGUAAAUAUUUGCAAUUUUUAUGUUGGGUGGAA
RNAcentral lists this long non-coding RNA (1010 nucleotides) under Olea europaea subsp. europaea. Lineage: Eukaryota; Viridiplantae; Streptophyta; Magnoliopsida; Lamiales; Oleaceae. The record is from RNAcentral.